RNAcentral lists this ribosomal RNA (484 nucleotides) under uncultured bacterium. RNAcentral's name for it is "partial 16S ribosomal RNA". It matches the Rfam family "Bacterial small subunit ribosomal RNA", at positions 30 to 507 of the family's 1533-position model. The record is from RNAcentral.
AUUGAACGCUGGCGGCAGGCCUAAUACAUGCAAGUCGAGCGGAUGAAGGGAGGUUGCCUCUGUAUUCAGCGUCGCACGGGUGUGUAAUGUAUAGGAACCUGCUUGGUAGUGGGGGAUAAAGUAUGGCUACGGGCGGUAAUUCCGCCUACGUCCUGAGUGGGAAAGCGUGGGCUCUUCGUACAUCACGCUAUCAGAUGAGCCGAGGUCUGAUUAGCUAUUUGUUGGGGUAAAGGCCUACCAAGGAGACGAUCCGUAACUGGUCUGAGAGGAUGAUCAGUCACACUGGAACGGAGACACGAGCCAGACUCCUACGGUAGGCAAGGGUGCAGAAUAUUAUACAAUGGGCUAAAGGCAGAUCCAGCCAUGCCGCGUGGGGGAAGAAAGGCCUGGGAUUGGAAAGCACUGUAAGGUGGGAGGAAAAGCAGUAAGUUAAGACCAUACUGAUUUGACGUUACCAACAGAAUAAGCACCGGCUAACUUCGUG